GAGUGUGGGGUCCACUUCCGGCUGGGGGCGCGGCUCAGGCUCGGGGCCUGAGGAGACGGGUUCUUGGCGUGCGGCGCGCGGGGUGCCCCGUCCCCCGCAAAGCGCGUCCGGUUCCGCGUGUGGGAGCCCCACCCUCGGGCUUGCGCGUCCCGGGGCGUCUGUGCUCCGGCCUCUGUCCCGGGGGGGUCCCGCGGGGCCGGGGCCGGGGCUGCCCGAGGAGCCUACACGGAGCCUCGCUAGCGAGCGGCCGCCGCGGUUCAUAACGUUCUGUGCUUGUAAAACAGCAUUGUGGAUACUGGAGAGAGCCACCCACAACUUAGACAGUAAAACCUUGAUUAACCGGAACUCAGCUAACCGGUAUUUUUGUGAGGGUGGAAGGAAGCUGCAGGCGGAAGGCAGGGAGAGCUGCCCCCAACCACCAAGAAGCCUUGAAGUUCAAAGCAAAGUUCUGUGAUUGGUUGCUUCAUCGACUGAGAAGAUCUGCCUCCCCAAGUCAGAGAAGCUCUGCAUGUGGUCUGGGAACUGAACAAGUUGCUAAAAAAGUGGAUUUCUGUGAGCACUUGAGUGCAGAAGACGGGGGAAGCUGAGGCAAACGGGUGGGGGUCUUGGGCAGUGGGAGGAGAAGGAAGGAAAACUGGUGGGAAAUGGGAAUAAGGACAGGGCAAGAAGGGAAGACCAAGUGUUGGUGAAGUGGAGAGGUAGCCAGGAACCUUGGGAGAAAGGAGUGUGGGUGGAAGCUGUGAGAGGAAAAUUAAAAGGAAGGAGAGGAAAACCUCAAGCAAAUUGAAAGAGAGAGGGGGGCAGUGAGGUGAGAGGAGAAAAGCCAAAUCAAUACUGUGUGCAAGGAGAGCAUACACCUCUAUUCCUCUGUAAGUCACAGUG
RNAcentral lists this long non-coding RNA (882 nucleotides) under Phascolarctos cinereus (koala). Its description in RNAcentral is "lncRNA (ENSPCIG00000034990.1)". Lineage: Eukaryota; Metazoa; Chordata; Mammalia; Diprotodontia; Phascolarctidae. The record is from RNAcentral.